This 449-nucleotide ribosomal RNA is filed under the name uncultured bacterium. RNAcentral describes it as "partial 16S ribosomal RNA". It matches the Rfam family "Bacterial small subunit ribosomal RNA", at positions 29 to 523 of the family's 1533-position model. The record is from RNAcentral.
AACGAACGCUGGCGGCACGCCUAACACAUGCAAGUCGAACGAGACCUUCGGGUCUAGUGGCGCACGGGUGCGUAACGCGUGGGAAUCUGCCCUUUGCUUCGGAAUAACACAGAGAAAUUUGUGCUAAUACCGGAUAAUGUCGCAAGACCAAAGAUUUAUCGGCAAAGGAUGAGCCCGCGUAAGAUUAGCUAGUUGGUGGGGUAAUGGCCUACCAAGGCGACGAUCUUUAGCUGGUCUGAGAGGAUGAUCAGCCACACUGGGACUGAGACACGGCCCAGACUCCUACGGGAGGCAGCAGUGGGGAAUAUUGGACAAUGGGCGAAAGCCUGAUCCAGCAAUGCCGCGUGAGUGAUGAAGGCCUUAGGGUUGUAAAGCUCUUUUACCAGGGAUGAUAAUGACAGUACCUGGAGAAUAAGCUCCGGCUAACUCCGUGCCAGCAGCCGCCGCAG